GGUCGACAGGGGAUGGUUACUCCUCCUAGGCACCUGAUCCCGCCUCCGGUAUAUAUUACUUAUCCUCUUAGUCCCCGGUGGGACAUAAGGCUUCAACAAGUUGUCUCCAUCUAGCUCUGUCCUUGGCAAUAUACUGUGCUUGUCCCCAUGAGUAACCCAUUUCCUCAAGUUCUGAUGUUACGGUUCUCCUCCAGGUGGUACGUGGUCUGCCUCUUUUCCUCUUUCCAGGUGGUGUCCAGUGUAGAGCUACUUUGGGAAUCCUGUUCUGGGGCAUUCUCAUUACGUGACCAAGCCAUCUCAUUCUUAUUUGUUUUAUCUCUGUGCUGAUGUUCUUGCUUUUGCACUUUUGGUGUAGGUUUUUAUUACUGAUUUUGUUUGGCCAAAAGAUUCUGUUUAUUUUUCUAAGGCAGCUGUUGUGGAAGGCCUCAACUUUUUUCAUAUCAGUUUCUAUAACACGCCAGCAUUAAGACCCAUACAGGAGGACUGAUUUCACAUUGCUGUUAUAAAGUUGGACUUUGGUCCUCAGACUGUAGCUGUUUGAUUUCCAGAAUGUUUGGAGUUGGGUGAAUGCUGCACGUGCUUUGUUGAGUCUUGCCUUUAUGUCUUUCCCGGCACCGUUGUCCUUGCUAAGUAUGCUUCCUAGGUAGGUGAAAUCCUACCUCCUCCAGCGGUUCUCCAUUUAAAACCACAGGUUCCACUGGAGCAUUUAUUAUCAUCACCUUGGUCUUUUUGGCGUUGAUGUUAAGACCAGUUUGUUUGGCAAAUUUGUUCAGCUGAUCUGUUUUUUCUUGUAGAUGGGUCUUGUUCCCUGAGAUCUCUGCAAGGUCGUCUGCAAAGUAUAAGUCCUCUAGGUUGCUGAACAUAGUCCACUGGAUACCUCUCUUCUUAUCUGCUGUGCUGUUUCUUUGGAUCCAAUCAAUGACUAUUAAGAAGAGGAUAUGUGACAAUAUACAUCCUUGUCUAACUCCAGAUUUGACACUAAAGGACUCAGAGAUGUUCUUUUCUAAUAUGACACUGCAUUCAAAGUUUUCGUAGAAUGCUCGCAUAAGGUUACAGAUCUUCAAUGGGAUUCCAUAUGAUCUAACUAUUUUCCACAAUGUAUCCCUAUGCACACUGUCAAAUGCCUUCUUAAAGUCAAUAUAGUUGAUGUAUAGUGGCAUUUUCCAUUCAAGACAUUGUUCGAUAAUAUUACGAAUGGCAAAAAUCUGGUCUAUGCAGCCUCUUCCUCUUCUGAACCCAGCUUGUUCUUCUCUCAAUUUAUCAUCAAUAGCUUCAUCUAUUCUGCUGAGAAGUAUUUUGCAGAAUACCUUACUGGGGAAUGAGAGCAAUGUUAUUCCUCUCCAGUUAUCACAUAUUUGUCUGGUAUAUAUACACCUGUAAAAUAAAGGUAAUUUUAGCGUAAAGUCAUCUGAAUUGAUGACAAUAAGAGCGGAGUAAAGUUACAUCCGUGGUGUGAUUUGGUCGCGACCAGCGAUGAAAAAACUGUGGCGUUGGCCUAGCCUACCUGAAUUUGAAAACGCAAGAAUUGUUGAACACAGAUUUCGACAGAAAUUCAAAGGAUCUUAGAGAAUUGAUAGAGAAUAUGAUGGGUCAAGUUAACGUCAGGCUUAUAGUCCGGUUUUGGAAGGAAACAACAGCAUGUUCAUCGUUUGGACUCGUGGUUGUAGCCAUGGAGGAGUAAGACAGAUCAGAUCUAGACGAAGUACAGGAUUUUAAUGAAGACUCGCACCGGUACCCUGACAUGAACAUUUUUCGAGCCUCGAAACCAGCCCCGCUCAUGAUGACGCCCAGUCAUAGCCUUGAAGACAGUUGCCAUGAAACAACAGGUUAAUUUAUCAUCAUCAAGUAUAUAGGCUUAUAACUGUACCUCCAUUUUUUCGAUUCCAAUAUCAUAGUUAUUUUAUGAAUUCGCCAUGUUGCAGAAGUUGCAGUUUAGGCAUAGUUGCAGACGGUAUUUAAAACUGUUUAAAAUGAAACAACAGAACGGUAUGUUUAAUAUUUCUGUUUUAUGAAUUGAUGAAAUUCUUAUCUGUUUACAAAAUAAACUCUGUAUAAAUAUC
Long non-coding RNA from Ostrea edulis (European flat oyster), 2060 nucleotides. RefSeq lists it as uncharacterized. The transcript has 2 exons. NCBI's taxonomy places the organism in Eukaryota, Metazoa, Mollusca, Bivalvia, Ostreida, Ostreidae. The record is from RefSeq and is a predicted model, not a curated record.